This 2369-nucleotide long non-coding RNA is filed under the name Homo sapiens (human). RNAcentral describes it as "LNC_000420". Lineage: Eukaryota; Metazoa; Chordata; Mammalia; Primates; Hominidae. The record is from RNAcentral.
CAUUCUUCCACGACGUGCUGUGCUGGAAUCCCUGAGCCUGCUCUGGCCUGGGAGGCUGCCUGAUUUGUGAGUCCUUCAUUGCUUCAUUAAAUUCUUUUACAUUUAAUCCGGUUGAAGUUUUCCUUUAAUGAACUGAUUUUUUAAAAAGUACCUAAGGUUAGCUUUAAAAAAAAAAAUCUGUCCUUAAAAAUUGGGUUGGCCAGGCGCAGAAGUGCAGUGGCUCAUGCUUGUAAUCCCAGCCUCCCAAAGCACUGGGAAUACAGGCAUAAACCACUGCUUAUGGUCAAAAAUAACACUUUCAUGUAUAAUUUUCUCAUUAGAAAUUUGUCAAAUCACACCUAGAACUGAGAACACCACCGAGCCUCUUCAGGGACUUAGAAAUCAGGGAAACCCCUGAUGUGUGUGAAUAUACAUUGGCCUGCGUCCUGGCCGGGGAAGGCAAGUUUAAGUUUUCAGAGGAUUUGUAGGUUGGAUGUCAUGAUUGCCUUCCUCAGGGCUGUCAUUUCUUAAUGUCUUUUAUAUUCUUCUUCUCAUCUCCCUUCUGCACUGAGUCAGGGCCUCUCUCAUGGAGCAACAGUCUUCCCACAGAGAGUAAAGUCAUCACAGUGGAGGCUUGCUCAACCUUUACAAAUUCUAAAACCACAGGCCAACAUUAACUUCCUCCAUUUCUCACCGGAAAUCAACAUGGCCACCACCAUCGUGCCUCAUCCUGCUCCUCUUGGACUGUAAAUCAUGGCUUGUUCAUUGUAAGCCGUCAAUUGCAUGUUGUUUCAGUUGUCUGCCAACUCAAUUCUAUCAGUGUGUUUUGACUGAUAGAAUUUUGUAAACUCCCUUUUACAUUUAUUUGUAUUUGACGAGAUGGUUUGAUUUUGUUGAGCUGUCUUCCUCUUUGUUAUCCCUCCUAUCACAGUUCUUGGAGCUCACUACCCCUUUUCAGAUUGUCAUGGGCAGGCAAAUUGCUGGUCCCCUCGCCUUGCAAGGUCCUUUGCAUAACCACACAGUUUUCACUUGAAAAGACAAUAGAGUUGCCAGAUAAAAUACAGGCCCCUGCAAGAUCUGGAACACACUCUGCACGAUGCCAUGCAGUAUUUGGGAUAUACUUAUGCCAAAACUUGUUCAUUAUUUAUGUGAAAUUCAAGUUUAAUUUGAAUUAAAUAUUGGCACCCGUAUUUUUAUUUGUUAAAUUUUUAUUUGUUAAAUAUUUGUUAAACUUUUAUUUGAUAUACUUAUGCCAAAACUUGUUCAUUAUUUAUGUGAAAUUCAAGUUUAAUUUGAAUUAAAUAUUGGCACCUGUAUUUUUAUUUGUUAAAUCUUGCCACCCUCAAGUACAAACGCCUCUGUACCUCAGAGGCAUAAGAAUGUGCAAAUGGGAUUCAUGCAACUCACAACCUAGACCUCCCUCUCUUUUCUAUCUUCAAAAACCAAUGUUCUUUUACUGUUAAGAACCUUGGGAGAGAGGGAAAUCACAAGGUAGUCUUAAGCAGAUUACUACACUCUUGUAGUGAUAACAUUUAAUUAAAAAAUUGAUUUAUUUUUCUUCUGACUUAAAAGCAAAAUGAAACAAAACAAAACAAAACCCCAAACCACAAACUCAGGCCUCCUCUCUGGGCUUCCCUGCACACAGGCUGAUGUUAACUGCACUGAGCACCCUGGGAACAUCAGUCCAACUGCAGGCACUGGAAUCGCUGUAGACCAUGACGGACAAUGGCUCCCAUACACACAGUAUUCCAGUCUUGGGAGUGAAAAUGGCCCCGUGCAGCCUCACGGCCCAUGGGUUUAGGCUGAACUUUGAGACCAUUUCUUUUUAUUCACACCUGGGAUGGCCUAGCCCAACUGAAACCAAGCAACCUGGACGCCCUAUCAGUGGCUGUGAAAUCAUAGGCCAAAUUCCUCUGUGGCAAAGACUUCCUGUAAAAAAUACCGUUAAGGCCUAGCCAGGUCCGAAAUGAAUAAAUGAAUAAUCAUUGAUUAUUGAUCAAUGCUUUUUAAUCAGUGCCCUCUGUGAAAAGGAACUAUCCCUCCCCACAAAACUCUUUUAUGAAUAGAACCAGAAUGGUUGAAGGGUGGUUUCAUUCUUUUUUUUAAGAGAUGGGGUCUUGCUGUGUUGCCCAGGCUAGUCUUAAACUCCUGGCCUCACGUGAUCCUCCUGCCUCAGCCUCGGCCACUGAGCCUGGCUCAUUCACUUUUUACCUACUUUUGGAACCUCAAAUGGUAACUAACUUACCAAGUGAUUGGCAUAGCUACCAAGGUGAAAUGUUAAAUUUAAUGCAGUGUCACAUCGUUCUUCCAGAUUCGUGGUGAGUAGGAUUAUCCAACAAUCCCUCUCAUGUAUUUCUUUCUUUUUUUUUUUUUUUUUUGAGAUGGAGUCU